GGGGUUGUAGCUCAGUGGUAGAGUGCUUGCCUAGUAUGCAUGAGGCAUUUGGUUCGAUCCCCAGUACCA
RNAcentral lists this transfer RNA (69 nucleotides) under Ictidomys tridecemlineatus (thirteen-lined ground squirrel). RNAcentral's name for it is "Spermophilus tridecemlineatus (thirteen-lined ground squirrel) tRNA". It matches the Rfam family "tRNA". From Rfam's summary of the family: Transfer RNA (tRNA) molecules are approximately 80 nucleotides in length. Their secondary structure includes four short double-helical elements and three loops (D, anti-codon, and T loops). Lineage: Eukaryota; Metazoa; Chordata; Mammalia; Rodentia; Sciuridae. The record is from Rfam by way of RNAcentral.